This is a long non-coding RNA of Ruditapes philippinarum (Manila clam), 501 nucleotides long. RefSeq lists it as uncharacterized. Lineage: Eukaryota; Metazoa; Mollusca; Bivalvia; Venerida; Veneridae. The record is from RefSeq and is a predicted model, not a curated record. The transcript has 3 exons.
UUUAUAUUUGUGCUACUUUCGGACACUGUACAAAAGACACUUGUUUUUCGAAAAGUCUGUGUUUAAUAGUAUGACAAUGCCAGAAUAACCAAACGUAUGGAGGUUUUAGAUUAUUUAUUUCAAUUAUGUAUUUAUGAAAAACAUAAAAUAAUUUAAUUUUCAGGGACUGCUGAUCUUCAUAUUUCACUGCGUGAUGGACAAAAAGAUAAAAGAUGCGUUUUCAAAACAGAGACACAAGUGGCUUCAAUCGACGCAGAGUUUCGGACUUUCUGAAGGAAAGAAAAGCAAAACAUAAGACUCUUCCGUUUUGUGAAAGCCAAGAAGAAUCAGUUCAUCGAUGGAGUAUUUCAAAAUGUGAUUUGUCGGACAGUUUUAUAUCUAAAACAGCACUUUGUCAUUUAAAGCUUCCUGUACAUCGUGAUCAACCGAUAACGUACUUCAAUAUUUGUACUUAGCUAACCACGGUUAUAUCACCCGUAUUUUAGAUUUUUGAAAUUUUCA